GAUGUCAACUAGCUGUUGGGGCCUUCGGGCCUUAGUAGCGCAGCUAACGCGUGAAGUUGACCGCCUGGGGAGUACGGUCGCAAGAUUAAAACUCAAAGGAAUUGACGGGGACCCGCACAAGCGGUGGAUGAUGUGGAUUAAUUCGAUGCAACGCGAAAAACCUUACCUACCCUUGACAUGUCUGGAAUCCCGAAGAGAUUUGGGAGUGCUCGCAAGAGAACCGGAACACAGGUGCUGCAUGGCUGUCGUCAGCUCGUGUCGUGAGAUGUUGGGUUAAGUCCCGCAACGAGCGCAACCCUUGUCAUUAGUUGCUACGAAAGGGCACUCUAAUGAGACUGCCGGUGACAAACCGGAGGAAGGUGGGGAUGACGUCAAGUCCUCAUGGCCCUUAUGGGUAGGGCUUCACACGUCAUACAAUGGUCGGGACAGAGGGUUGCCAACCCGCGAGGGGGAGCCAAUCCCAGAAACCCGAUCGUAGUCCGGAUUGCAGUCUGCAACUCGACUGCAUGAAGUCGGAAUCGCUAGUAAUCGCGGAUCAGCAGCGCGGAGCA
This 551-nucleotide ribosomal RNA is filed under the name uncultured bacterium. RNAcentral describes it as "bacterial SSU rRNA". It matches the Rfam family "Bacterial small subunit ribosomal RNA", at positions 808 to 1366 of the family's 1533-position model. The record is from RNAcentral.